GAUGAACGCUGGCGGCGUGCCUAAUACAUGCAAGUCGAGCGAACAGAUGAUGAGCUUUCUCCUCUGACGUUAGCGGCUGACGGGUGAGUAACACGUGGAUAACCUACCUAUAAUUCUUGGAUAACUUCGGGAAACCGGUUCUAAUACCGGAUAAUAUAUUGUACCGCAUGGUUCACUAGUUAAAGACGGUUUUGCUGUCUCUUAUAGAUGUUUCCGCGCCGCAUUAGCUAGUUGGUAAGGUAACGGCUUACCAAGGCAACGAUGCGUAGCCGACCUGAGAGGGUGAUCGGCCAAACUGGAACUGAGACACGGACCAGACUACUACGGGAGGAAGCAGUAGGGAAUAUUGGGCAAUGGGCGAAAGCAUGACGGAGCAACGCCGCGUGAGUGAUGAAGGUAUUCGGAUCGUAAAACUAUGUUAUUAGGGAAGAAAAAAAGUGAAAGAAAAUAAGGAGGUAUUGACGGUACCUAAAGAGAAAGCAACGGCUAACUACGUG
Molecule: ribosomal RNA, 497 nt
Filed under: uncultured bacterium
Lineage: Bacteria
Description: partial 16S ribosomal RNA
Rfam family: Bacterial small subunit ribosomal RNA
Source: RNAcentral